ACACCGCCCGUCACACCAUGGGAGUUGGCCACGCCCGAAGUCGUUACUCCAACCGAAAGGAGGAGGAUGCCGAAGGCAGGGCUGAUGACUGGGGUGAAGUCGUAACAAGGUAGCCGUACCGGAAGGUGUGGCUGGAUCACCUCCUUU
RNAcentral lists this ribosomal RNA (147 nucleotides) under Leptolyngbya sp. CCALA 094. Its description in RNAcentral is "partial 16S ribosomal RNA". It matches the Rfam family "Bacterial small subunit ribosomal RNA", at positions 1387 to 1533 of the family's 1533-position model. The record is from RNAcentral. Lineage: Bacteria; Bacillati; Cyanobacteriota; Cyanophyceae; Leptolyngbyales; Leptolyngbyaceae.